UACGAAGGGUGCAAACGUUGCUCGGAAUCAUUGGGCGUAAAGCGCACGUAGGCGGCUAUCUAAGUCGGAUGUGAAAUCCCUCGGCUUAACCAAGGAAGUGCAUCCGAAACUGGAUAGCUUGAGUACUGAAGAGGAUCGCGGAAUUCCCGGUGUAGAGGUGAAAUUCGUAGAUAUCGGGAGGAACACCAGUGGCGAAGGCGGCGAUCUGGGCAGAUACUGACGCUGAGGUGCGAAAGCGUGGGGAGCAAACAGG
RNAcentral lists this ribosomal RNA (253 nucleotides) under uncultured bacterium. RNAcentral describes it as "partial 16S ribosomal RNA". It matches the Rfam family "Bacterial small subunit ribosomal RNA", at positions 524 to 776 of the family's 1533-position model. The record is from RNAcentral.